UGCAAGUCGAGCGGUAACAGAAAGAAAGCUUGCUAUCAAUGCUGACGAGCGGCGGACGGGUGAGUAAUGCCUGGGAAUAUACCCUGAUGUGGGGGAUAACUAUUGGAAACGAUAGCUAAUACCGCAUAAUCUCUUCGGAGCAAAGAGGGGGACCUUCGGGCCUCUCGCGUCAGGAUUAGCCCAGGUGGGAUUAGCUAGUUGGUGGGGUAAUGGCUCACCAAGGCGACGAUCCCUAGCUGGUCUGAGAGGAUGAUCAGCCACACUGGAACUGAGACACGGUCCAGACUCCUACGGGAGGCAGCAGUGGGGAAUAUUGCACAAUGGGSGAAASCCUGAUGCAGCCAUGCCGCGUGUAUGAAGAAGGCCUUCGGGUUGUAAAGUACUUUCAGUCGUGAGGAAGGGUGUGUAGUUAAUAGCUGCAYAUCUUGACGUUAGCGACAGAAGAAGCACCGGCUAACUCCGUGCCAGCAGCCGCGGUAAUACGGAGGGUGCGAGCGUURAUCGGAAUUACUGGGCGUAAAGCGCAUGCAGGUGGUUCAUUAAGUCAGAUGUGAAAGCCCGGGGCUCAACCUCGGAACCGCAUUUGAAACUGGUGAACUAGAGUGCUGUAGAGGGGGGUAGAAUUUCAGGUGUAGCGGUGAAAUGCGUAGAGAUCUGAAGGAAUACCAGUGGCGAAGGCGGCCCCCUGGACAGACACU
This 698-nucleotide ribosomal RNA is filed under the name uncultured bacterium. RNAcentral's name for it is "bacterial SSU rRNA". It matches the Rfam family "Bacterial small subunit ribosomal RNA", at positions 56 to 741 of the family's 1533-position model. The record is from RNAcentral.